Molecule: long non-coding RNA, 1132 nt
Organism: Hippoglossus stenolepis (Pacific halibut)
Lineage: Eukaryota; Metazoa; Chordata; Actinopteri; Pleuronectiformes; Pleuronectidae
Exons: 2
Source: RefSeq, a predicted model, not a curated record
CUUACUUGUCCUUCACUGUCCUCCCUGCACACUCACUCUCUGUAAAGUCCUGUGUCGCACUCGGAGCUGAAGUCGUGGGAUUAGCUGCAGCAUUCUUAUGUAACUCUGCUCCGUGGAAGACAGGAAGUGGUGCCAGGCUGCCAGUAAGGAAUAACAGCCUCACAUGGCGCCCAGGCGGGCACAGCAGUGAGCGACAUGGGCCCUCAGGGGAGCACUGCCACGGCUGCCUAUAGCACACUGCACUGCCACGAAUAGAUAGAGGAGCUAUUUCUGGAUCUCCCACACUGCAGCGGCACUAUACCUGGACGGAGGGACACGACCCCAAACUGUCCGAGCCACAGGGAGAGCACGGUUAGGAUGUCAGCUUGCUCCGCUCCCCCGCUCAUUACGCCUGUGGACCGGAGACGCUGUCCUCACUGCUUCCCCUCCCGCGAACCCGCUGCCUCACACUGGGCCGGGCAUUUGGACCUUGAUGGGAGAACCCUGCAGAAAUCCAAGAGAGACAUAAAACUGUCAGAAACUGAUGGAUGCGUUCUGGUAAUUCUGGAAAAGUUGCACAACAUGAUAACUUAAGAAACUUAAGGUCCUGUUCUUGGGUGUUGAACAAGGAUUUUUUUAGGCCUGCUUGAAAUUCAUGUGAAAAAAGUGAGCGUCUCCCCGGUUGUGAGACGAAGUUAAACCCUGAGCUUAAUGUCUGGAGCUUUCUGAUACUUGACCACAGCUGCAGCUGCCACACCUGCUGCCAGCAGCUGUCUUUCUGGACAAAUUCAUGCCAGCAGCUCCCAGGCGAACGUCCUGCAUCUUACAUUUCAAAAGGCCUCGGCUCAGUGUCAUUUUUCCCAGUCAUAUAUCUUCAUUAUAAGACAGCCAUGGAGCAGACCUUUUAAAUACGUCUCAUCAGAUAUGGGACACUUUUAAAUCUGCCUCAGUUUGGAUUGGAAUUUCACUAUUUAGCUCUGGUUGAGUAAAGCUGUAUUAAGUUUUGUAAAAAAAAAAAGAAAAAGGCAACAGAAAUGUGUAAAUCACAAUAUUAUAAGUUUGAUUAUAAUGAAAACCGAACUUUUGUGCACUACAAUGUUAUUUGUUUUAAUUAUUGAUGGUUAUUAAUUAUUAAAUAAUGUGUAAAAUAUCA